UAAUACGGAGGGUGCAAGCGUUAUCCGGAAUCACUGGGUUUAAAGGGUGCGUAGGCGGCCUAAUAAGUCAGAGGUGAAAAGUUACAGCUUAACUGUAAAGGUGCCUUUGAUACUGUUUGGCUUGAAUAAGGUUGAGGUUGGCGGAAUGUGACAUGUAGCGGUGAAAUGCAUAGAUAUGUCAUAGAACACCAAUUGCGAAGGCAGCCAGCUAGGCCUUCAUUGACGCUGAGGCACGAAAGCGUGGGUAGCGAACAGGAUUAGAUACCCUGGUAGUCCACGCCCUAAACGAUGCUUACUAGACGUAUGGGACAUAGAUUUUGUGCGUCAAAGGGAAACCAUUAAGUAAGCCACCUGGGGAGUACGUUCGCAAGAAUG
RNAcentral lists this ribosomal RNA (375 nucleotides) under uncultured Sphingobacteriia bacterium. RNAcentral's name for it is "bacterial SSU rRNA". It matches the Rfam family "Bacterial small subunit ribosomal RNA", at positions 521 to 896 of the family's 1533-position model. The record is from RNAcentral. Lineage: Bacteria; Pseudomonadati; Bacteroidota; Sphingobacteriia.